This 783-nucleotide ribosomal RNA is filed under the name Gibbium psylloides (shiny spider beetle). RNAcentral describes it as "partial 16S ribosomal RNA". The stretch from base 1 to 581 matches the Rfam family "Bacterial large subunit ribosomal RNA", at positions 1834 to 2925 of the family's 2925-position model. Lineage: Eukaryota; Metazoa; Arthropoda; Insecta; Coleoptera; Ptinidae. The record is from RNAcentral.
UUAGAUGAUAUUUUGAAGUCAGCUCUGCCCAAUGAAUGUUUAAUGGCCGCGGUAUUUUGACCGUGCAAAGGUAGCAUAAUAAUUAGUUUUUUAAUUGAAAACUGGAAUGAAUGAGUAAACGAGAUUCUGACUGUCUCUAUUUUAUUAAUAGAAUUUUAUUUUUAAGUUAAAAAGCUUAAAUUUUUUAAAAAGACGAGAAGACCCUAUAGAUUUUUAUAAUUAUGUUGAUUUUUUUAAAUUAGGAUUUAUUGAAAUUUUAAUUGAUUAUUUGAUUGGGGUGAUUGAAAAAUUUAUUUAACUUUUUUUUGUUUCUUUACAUUAAUUUAUGGCUGAUUGAUCCAUUUUUUUUUGAUUAUAAGAUUAAAUUACCUUAGGGAUAACAGCGUUAUUUCUCCUGGAAGUUCGUAUUUAUGGAGAAGUUUGCGACCUCGAUGUUGGAUUAAAAUAAAUUUUUAAUGCAGAAGUUAAUUAAUUAAGUCUGUUCGACUUUUAAAUUUUUACAUGAUCUGAGUUUAAACCGGCGUGAGCCAGGUUGGUUUCUAUCUUUUAUAAUUAUAUAUUAAUUAGUACGAAAGGACCAUUAAUUGAGUAUUUUACUUUACUUUGAUUAAAAUUGUUAUUUUGGCAGAUUAGUGCAAUAAAUUUAGAAUUUAUGUAUGUAUGUUUAUUACAAGUAAUACUUGGUAUUCAAGGAUUAUUUAAUGUUAGUAUUUUCUUUGUUAAUUUUAUUGGUUGGGGUAUUAGUGGGUGUUGCUUUUAUAGUUUUAUUGGAACGUAAGGUUU